UGGGGAAUAUUGCACAAUGGGCGAAAGCCUGAUGCAGCAACGCCGCGUGAGUGAUGAAGGUCUUCGGAUUGUAAAGCUCUGUCUUUUGGGACGAUAAUGACGGUACCAAAGGAGGAAGCCACGGCUAACUACGUGCCAGCAGCCGCGGUAAUACGUAGGUGGCGAGCGUUGUCCGGAUUUACUGGGCGUAAAGGGUGCGUAGGCGGAUGUUUAAGUGAGAUGUGAAAUACCCGGGCUUAACUUGGGUGCUGCAUUUCAAACUGGAUAUCUAGAAUGCAGGAGAGGAGAAUGGAAUUCCUAGUGUAGCGGUGAAAUGCGUAGAGAUUAGGAAGAACACCAGUGGCGAAGGCGAUUCUCUGGACUGUAACUGACGCUGAGGCACGAAAGCGUGGGUAGCAAACAGGAUUAGAUACCCUGGUAGUCCACGCCGUAAACGAUGAGUACUAGGUGUAGGAGGUAUCGACCCCUUCUGUGCCGCAGUAAAAC
This 486-nucleotide ribosomal RNA is filed under the name uncultured bacterium. RNAcentral describes it as "partial 16S ribosomal RNA". It matches the Rfam family "Bacterial small subunit ribosomal RNA", at positions 355 to 858 of the family's 1533-position model. The record is from RNAcentral.